Molecule: long non-coding RNA, 2087 nt
Filed under: Homo sapiens (human)
Lineage: Eukaryota; Metazoa; Chordata; Mammalia; Primates; Hominidae
Description: HSALNT0340984
Source: RNAcentral
UUGUUAACAAAUGCCUGGGCAAGCACAAAUGUCUCAAAGCAGAUUGUGAAUCUCACAUGUGCCAUAUAAAACCCUCAGGUGGUACAGACAGUGUCAUAACAGGGAGCAGCAAACAGGUGAGAUUGUGACUCUCAUAUGCACACCUGGCUAACAGUAUGAAUUGUCACCCUCCCACCUGAACACAGCCUCCUUACAACGUCCUCAAUCUCACACUCAGAGGCAGUCAAAGUUGGAAUUAUGACUCUCAUAUGUGAACGCAGUCCACAGGUAGCAUGGUGAUUCCCACACCAAGAUUCAGCAGCCCUGUGAGGCUGUGGCUCUGCUACUGGGACACUAAGGCAUUGUGAAAUAUCUCUAGGCCCAUCACCUACGUGAUGUGACUCUUCUUUCCUGCCUGAACCCUGCCCCCAAGAGACAUUGUGACAUAUCACUGGGUCCAGCUUCCAGGUAAUGUAACAGUCCUGCCUUGGCCCUGCCCACAAGGGGCAUUGUGACAUAUUGCUGAGCCCAGUACCUAGGUGAUAUGACUCUCCUGAAUUGCCCCUGCACUCAGGGGAGACUUUUGACCCUGCCCAAAGUGGCAAUUGUGACAUAUCUUUGGCCAGCACCCAGGAGAUCCAAACUUUGUUCCUGGUCUCUCUCCACAGUUGGAAUUGGGAACUACACAUGGGCACAGCUUACAGGUGGAAUGAUGACUCACACCUGAAGAUAUUUUGACCUUUGUAGUCUUAGGGCAAAAACUAAGGUCCUGUGUCUUCAACUUGUAGGAUGGUCACGGAAUAUUACAACUUGCAUGCACGUUGAAUGAAGCCCUCAAAUGCUACAAAGAGUGCCAAAAUAGAGCCCAGCUAAAACUGUGGUAAAACUGUGGCUGUUGUAUGCAAACUCAAAUAAAAGUAAGGAUUAUCAGCCUUCCACAUUAACAGAACCCACUGUUGAGGUUCUGAAUCGCUCACCAAGAGGCAAUCAAGUUGGAAUUGUGACUCUCAUGCAUCAAUCCAAUCGACAGAUGAGAUGAUAACACCAAGUCCAGGAUUUAGAACACCUGGGGGCUGUGCUUCCCCUAUCAAAACACAGUCUGUUGGUGAGAUUUGGGCUCUCGUGCAUUGAUUUAGUCCACUGUUGUGACUGACUUGCAUAGUUGAACUCAAACCCACAAGAGGUGUUGACUCUUAUACCUUUAGCAGGAAAAUGUCCCGGAUUGUGAAUUUCUGCUAUUGACCGGGUCCAGCUGGAUCCAGGUAUGAGAGUCAUCAUCUCACCUGUGAGCUGUGACCAUGUAUAUGUCGCAAUUUCACCUGUCAUCAGGAAGCAGACAUGAGAGUCCUAUCACCUGGGUGCUGGACGAAGUUUCGCUCUUGUUUCCCAGGCCGGAGCACAAUGGUGUGAUCUCGACUCACUGCAACCUCCGCCUCCCGGAUUCAAGCGAUUCUCCUGCCUCAGCCUGCCGAGUAGCUGGGAUUACAGAUGAAAAAAGAUGCAAAGAAGACAUAUUUGCUUUUUAUCCACACAUCAUUUCCAAUCACUAUGCUGAGCAAAGUCAAUGUGAGCAGAGCUGAGAAUAGCAGUUUUCUGGCAGGACGGCCACUUCUGAGCAAAAAAUGACACAAUAAAAGUAUAAAUAUUUAAUAGUAAGCUAAUAUAUUUUCAGCAAAUUAAGCAUAUGCAUUAAUAAAAUUAUUGUGGUAUAAUAUUCAUUUUGUUGAUUCCUAUUGCGCUCAGGUAAUAUCAGAUAAAAAACCAGCAAAUAUAGAGCAAAAAUAGUUAUUUGAAAUGGAAAUAUUGUGAAUAAAGUUAUUGUCAAUUAAAGUAAAAAUAUUUUUAUCUCCUACUAAUCGUUUACCUAUAGUUGUACAGUAUCAAAUGCUUUUUAUUAACAACUGUACUUCAUAUAAGUAUUCCAUUUAUAUCACCCUUCUUCAUGGUUUCAAUGCCUUCUGCACUUCAUAUCAGUGAAAAACAGGCGAGCUGGUACCAGGAAAUUGAUGUGGUGCUAUUACUACUUUAAGAGUGAUGACGUGUAAUCCUAGCACUUUGGGAGGCCGAGGCAGGCGGAUCACGAGGUCAAGAGAUCCAGACCAUUCUGG